AUGACGGCGGCGGGGCCGGGAGCGGGGCCGGGGGCGGAGGCCCAGAUGGGGAAGGACAGGGACGUGGUGCGGCUGGAGCGCGAGUCGGUGAUCCCCGUCAUGAAGCCCAAGCUCAUCAUGAAGCUCGCCUACCUCAUUGAGCACGAAAACGACAGGGAAGAAUUCCUGAAGCUCUGCAAGAGGGUGGAGUACACCAUCAGAGCUUGGUAUCAUCUCCAGUUUGAUGAUAUGAUGGAGCUGUAUGCUCUCUUCGACCCUGUGCAGGGUGCCAAAAAACUGCAGCAGCAGAACUUCUCGUCCGAGGAAAUCGAUACACUCGAGCAGAACUUCCUGACCUAUUUCUUUCAGGUGAUGCAAAAAAGCAAUUUCAACAUAUUAUCUGACGAUGAGGUUGAGCUUGCUCAUUCUGGACAAUACCUAUUGAAUCUUCCAAUUAAAGUUGACGAAGCAAAGUUAGAUAACAAACUUUUGUCGAAGUAUUUCAAGGAGCACCAUCAUGACAACCUACCUGAGUUCUGUGAUAAGUACGUCAUAUUUCGGAGGGGCAUAGGACUGGACCGCACUAGCGAUUUUUUCUUCAUGGAGAAAGUGGACAUGGUCAUAACUCGUACAUGGCGAUGGCUGUUACAGAAGACGAGACUGCAAAGGCUCUUCUUGAGAAAGAAAAAGGUCAAGCCAGUGAUAGAUUCCAAGAAAGAUGAUGAUCUAGUUGGUGAAGGGGACGACAAGGAGCUAUACGUUGAACGUAUACGACUUGAAACAAUGAAAUUGAGCCUGCGCAAUUUAAUUGGCAAGGUUACAAUUCAGGAGCCUACAUUUGAAGAGGUGAUUGUCUUGUACAGGAAGAAAAGCCCGAAGGGCCAGGAUGAUAGAGCAAUUCAGGUUAAACACUUCAAAAAUAUUCCGAUGGCAGAUAUGGAGUUGGUUCUGCCUGAGAAGAAAAACCCGAGCCUCACGCCAAUGGACUGGGUUCAGUUCAUUGUUUCUGUUGUUAUUGGGCUUGUUACACUCGUCGGUUCACUCGAAAUGCCUAAAGCUGAUUUCUGGGUUGUGAUUGCCAUCCUUUCUGCUCUGGCUGGAUAUUGUGCUAAGAUCUAUUUCUCGUUUCAACAGAACAUGGCAACCUAUCAAAACCUAAUCACUCAGUCAAUGUAUGACAAACAACUAGAUAGUGGGAAAGGCACACUUCUGCACCUCUGUGAUGAUGUGAUUCAGCAGGAAAUCAAGGAGGUCAUAAUCGCAUACUAUAUAUUGAUGGAAAACGGAAAAGCUACUGUUGAGGAUCUUGAUUUGCAAUGCGAGGAGCUAAUCCAGGAAGAGUUUGGUUUGCAAUGUAAUUUUGAGGUGAUGGAUGCUCUUCAAAAGUUAGAGAGAUUUGGUAUUGUUACAAGAGAUUCUAUAGGAAGAAUUGUUUGCGUUCCUCUAAAGCGAUCCAAUGAGAUCAUUGGUGCUACUACUGAGGAGCUGGUUAUGAAAGCAAGACAAAGCUAG
Molecule: ribosomal RNA, 1491 nt
Filed under: Triticum aestivum (bread wheat)
Lineage: Eukaryota; Viridiplantae; Streptophyta; Magnoliopsida; Poales; Poaceae
Description: partial small subunit ribosomal RNA
Source: RNAcentral